This 479-nucleotide ribosomal RNA is filed under the name Anguliphantes nasus. Its description in RNAcentral is "partial 16S ribosomal RNA". It matches the Rfam family "Bacterial large subunit ribosomal RNA", at positions 1796 to 2621 of the family's 2925-position model. Lineage: Eukaryota; Metazoa; Arthropoda; Arachnida; Araneae; Linyphiidae. The record is from RNAcentral.
UCGCCUGUUUUUCAAAAACAUCUCUUAUAAUUUAUUAUAAGUAAAGUCUGCUCAAUGUAACAUAAAUAGCCGCAGAAUUUUAACUGUGCUAAGGUAGCAUAAUCAUUUACCUUAUAAUUAAAGGUUUGUAUGAAAGACUUAACAUUUAAAUUUCUUUUUUAUUAAUAUCUUCUAAAUUAAACUAAUCAUAAAAAUGUGAUUAUAAAAAAAUAAGACGACAAGACCCUAUUGAACUUUACUAAAGUUUAGCUGGGGAAGCUAAUUAAAUACUAUUUUAAUUUUUUUAUUAUCAUAAAUUUCUGAUUACAUCAUUAUGAACAAGUUACCAUAGGGAUAACAGCGUAAUAAUUUUUUAAAGCUCUUAUUAAAAAAAAAGUUUACGACCUCGAUGUUGAAUUAAAAUUACUUUAAACCGCAAUAGUAUGAAAGUUGGUCUGUUCGACCUUUAAAUUUUUACAUGAUCUGAGUUCCAAACCGGA